CCGACGGUGAGAGAUGAAAGCUGGGGGAGCAAACCGGAUUAGAUACCCGGGUAGUCCCAGCUGUAAACUAUGCAAACUCAGUGAUGCAUUGGCUUGUGGCCAAUGCAGUGCUGCAGGGAAGCCGUUAAGUUUGCCGCCUGGGAAGUACGUACGCAAGUAUGAAACUUAAAGGAAUUGGCGGGGGAGCACCACAAGGGGUGAAGCCUGCGGUUCAAUUGGAGUCAACGCCAGAAAUCUUACCCGGAGAGACAGCAGAAUGAAGGUCAAGCUGAAGACUUUACCAGACAAGCUGAGAGGUGGUGCAUGGCCGUCGCCAGCUCGUGCCGUGAGAUGUCCUGUUAAGUCAGGUAACGAGCGAGAUCCCUGCCUCUAGUUGCCACCAUUACUCUCAGGAGUAGUGGGGCGAAUUAGCGGGACCGCCGCAGUUAAUGCGGAGGAAGGAAGGGGCCACGGCAGGUCAGUAUGCCCCGAAACUCUGGGGCCACACGCGGGCUGCAAUGGUAACGACAAUUGGUUUCGAAUCCGAAAGGAUGAGGUAAUCCUCAAACGUUACCACAGUUGUGAUUGAGGGCUGCAACUCGCCCUCAUGAACAUGGAAUCCCUAGUAACUGCGUGUCAUUAUCGCGCGGUGAAUACGUCCCUGCUCCUUGUACUCACCGCCCGU
This 664-nucleotide ribosomal RNA is filed under the name uncultured archaeon. Its description in RNAcentral is "bacterial SSU rRNA". It matches the Rfam family "Archaeal small subunit ribosomal RNA", at positions 691 to 1353 of the family's 1478-position model. The record is from RNAcentral.